This 457-nucleotide ribosomal RNA is filed under the name uncultured bacterium. RNAcentral's name for it is "partial 16S ribosomal RNA". It matches the Rfam family "Bacterial small subunit ribosomal RNA", at positions 338 to 795 of the family's 1533-position model. The record is from RNAcentral.
CCUACGGGCGGCAGCAGUGGGGAAUAUUGCACAAUGGGGGAAACCCUGAUGCAGCGACGCCGCGUGAGUGAAGAAGUAUUUCGGUAUGUAAAGCUCUAUCAGCAGGGAAGAAAUAAAGUCCUUCGGACUUUGGACGGUACCUGACUAAGAAGCCCCGGCUAACUACGUGCCAGCAGCCGCGGUAAUACGUAGGGGGCAAGCGUUAUCCGGAUUUACUGGGUGUAAAGGGAGCGUAGACGGCAGCGCAAGUCUGGAGUGAAAUCCCAUGGCUUAACCAUGGAACUGCUUUGGAAACUGUGCAGCUGGAGUGCAGGAGAGGUAAGCGGAAUUCCUAGUGUAGCGGUGAAAUGCGUAGAUAUUAGGAGGAACACCAGUGGCGAAGGCGGCUUGCUGGACUGUAACUGACACUGAGGCUCGAAAGCGUGGGGAGCAAACAGGAUUAGAUACCCGAGUAGUC